Molecule: unclassified non-coding RNA, 618 nt
Filed under: Podospora bulbillosa
Lineage: Eukaryota; Fungi; Ascomycota; Sordariomycetes; Sordariales; Podosporaceae
Description: sequence contains 18S rRNA gene, ITS1, 5.8S rRNA gene, ITS2, 28S rRNA gene
Rfam family: 5.8S ribosomal RNA (bases 239-392)
Source: RNAcentral
GAAGUAAAAGUCGUAACAAGGUCUCCGUUGGUGAACCAGCGGAGGGAUCAUUACAGAGUUGCAAAACUCCCCAAACCAUCGUGAACCUUUACCGCUAAACAGUUGCUUCGGCGGGUGGCCCGCGGGUGCGCGCGCGCAAGCCGCGCCCCCGGGGGCCGCCGAGCCCGCCGGAGGAAUCCAAAAAACCAUCGCUUUCAGUACCGGCCUCUCUGAGUUACUGUACUUUUAAUUAAGUCAAAACUUUCAACAACGGAUCUCUUGGUUCUGGCAUCGAUGAAGAACGCAGCGAAAUGCGAUAAGUAAUGUGAAUUGCAGAAUUCAGUGAAUCAUCGAAUCUUUGAACGCACAUUGCGCCCGCCAGUAUUCUGGCGGGCAUGCCUGUUCGAGCGUCAUUUCCACCAUCAGGCCCCCGGGCCUGUGUUGGGGACCUGCGGCUGCCCGCAGGCCCCGAAAUUCAGUGGCGGUCGCGCCGUAGCAACCGAGCGUAGUAACUAAAACGUCUCGCUCUGGCUCCGCUGGGCGCGCUCCGGCCGUAAAACACCCCCCCUUUUCGCAAAGGUUGACCUCGGAUCAGGUAGGAAUACCCGCUGAACUUAAGCAUAUCAAUAAAGCGGAGGA